GCGGGCGUGGCGGAAUUGGUAGACGCGCUGGUUUUAGGUACCAGUAUCGCAAGAURWGGGGGUUCGAGUCCCUUCGCCCGCACCA
This 85-nucleotide transfer RNA is filed under the name Sphingopyxis granuli. Its description in RNAcentral is "tRNA-Leu". It matches the Rfam family "tRNA". Rfam says of the family: Transfer RNA (tRNA) molecules are approximately 80 nucleotides in length. Their secondary structure includes four short double-helical elements and three loops (D, anti-codon, and T loops). Further hydrogen bonds mediate the characteristic L-shaped molecular structure. tRNAs have two regions of fundamental functional importance: the anti-codon, which is responsible for specific mRNA codon recognition, and the 3' end, to which the tRNAs corresponding amino acid is attached (by aminoacyl-tRNA synthetases). tRNAs cope with the degeneracy of the genetic code in two manners: having more than one tRNA (with a specific anti-codon) for a particular amino acid; and 'wobble' base-pairing, i.e. permitting non-standard base-pairing at the 3rd anti-codon position. Lineage: Bacteria; Pseudomonadati; Pseudomonadota; Alphaproteobacteria; Sphingomonadales; Sphingopyxidaceae. The record is from RNAcentral.